CGCCUACGGGACGCAGCAGUGAGGAAUAUUGGUCAAUGGGAGAGAUCCUGAACCAGCCAAGCCGCGUGAGGGAAGACGGCCCUAUGGGUUGUAAACCUCUUUUGUCGGAGAACAAAACCCGGGACGUGUCCCGGACUGCGUGUAUCCGAAGAAAAAGCAUCGGCUAACUCCGUGCCAGCAGCCGCGGUAACACGUAGGGGGCAAGCGUUAUCCGGAUUUACUGGGUGUAAAGGGAGCGUAGACGGCAUAGCAAGUCUGAUGUAAAAGAUCGGGGCUCAACCCCGG
This 285-nucleotide ribosomal RNA is filed under the name uncultured bacterium. RNAcentral describes it as "partial 16S ribosomal RNA". It matches the Rfam family "Bacterial small subunit ribosomal RNA", at positions 336 to 618 of the family's 1533-position model. The record is from RNAcentral.